CUCGCAUGUUGGGGCGCAUGGCGCUGUACUUAAACCCUAACUAGGAGGCUUACCUGUAGUUUGAAAGACAUUAUUAACUUAAUCGUAGUUUGAUUAUUAAGUGAGAAGUGUAUGUACUAGUACGUGAUUUCUUCUCUGUAGAAUUCUGAAGGAACUUGGACAUUGCACCUCCUCUGCAACAAGCAAACCAGCCCUCCUUGGCUACAGUAUAUGGCUAUCUUGGUUCCUCUACUGAAUGAAAUUCCGAAGAAUCUUGGACAUUAAUUGUUUCUCCUUUUGCAAUGAGUCAAUCUGCCCUGCUAGCGAGUAUUACUGUGUUGCUUCCUCUACUGAAUGGCUCUUUUUUGACUCAUUUGCAUAAUUCACUAGACAAUGGCUUCAUCACAAUGAUGUAAUGAUAAUGAAUAUUCAUAGUCAGGAAACUGCUGAAAUGACACCACAGCAAAAGCAACUUCUUGAUGGCAUAUAUAUCUUCAGCAUGUGUAUCCAGGUAGCACCUGGAUGGCAGUGUGUUGAGUGUUGCAUGUAGCAUCCUACUGCUUGGAAAGGCUGACUGUCCAGAUUUGGAUUAACAUUUUCAAUAGAAAUUCUGAAGAAACUUGGACAUUAAUUAUACCUCCUUUUGCAAUGAGUCAACCUGCCCUGCUAGCCAGUAUUACUGUGUUGCUUCCUCUACUGAAUGGUGAGUGUAAUGGCAAAAGUUUGUGAAUGUUUAAUAUUAUGAAUUUCAUGUCCAUUGUAAAUUGCAUGUCCAUUGCAAAUUGCUUUGUGGGAUAAAUAUGUACCCAAGAAAGUUUGUUUUACAUAUGAGUUUAAUAGUCUAUAAUACUGUAGUAAUAAUAGUAAUUGUUUUUCCUCUGUAAGCAUACCAAUUAUUUUGGUUGUCAGUAUUACAGUAGGCCUACAACUUAUAUUUCCCUAUUUCAUAAUUAAAUUUUAAUAAAUUUUUGUUUAUGACAUACAAUUUAACUAUAAUAAUAACAAUAUAGCAAUGGUUUUAAUAUC
This is a long non-coding RNA of Anneissia japonica, 1005 nucleotides long. RefSeq lists it as uncharacterized. The record is from RefSeq and is a predicted model, not a curated record. The transcript has 5 exons. NCBI's taxonomy places the organism in Eukaryota, Metazoa, Echinodermata, Crinoidea, Comatulida, Comatulidae.